CCUACGGGAGGCUGCAGUGGGGAAUAUUGGACAAUGGGCGAAAGCCUGAUCCAGCCAUGCCGCGUGUGUGAAGAAGGCCUUCGGGUUGUAAAGCACUUUCAGUGGGGAAGAAAGCCUUGGGGCUAAUACCCUCGAGGAAGGACAUCACCCACAGAAGAAGCACCGGCUAACUCCGUGCCAGCAGCCGCGGUAAUACGGAGGGUGCGAGCGUUAAUCGGAAUUACUUGGCGUAAAGCGCGCGUAGGCGGUCUGAUAAGCCGGUUGUGAAAGCCCCGGGCUCAACCUGGGAACGGCAUCCGGAACUGUCAGGCUAGAGUGCAGGAGAGGAAGGUAGAAUUCCCGGUGUAGCGGUGAAAUGCGUAGAGAUCGGGAGGAAUACCAGUGGCGAAGGCGGCCUUCUGGACUGACACUGACGCUGAGGUGCGAAAGCGUGGGUAGCAAACAGGAUUAGAUACCCGGGUAGUC
Molecule: ribosomal RNA, 465 nt
Filed under: Vreelandella stevensii
Lineage: Bacteria; Pseudomonadati; Pseudomonadota; Gammaproteobacteria; Oceanospirillales; Halomonadaceae
Description: partial 16S ribosomal RNA
Rfam family: Bacterial small subunit ribosomal RNA
Source: RNAcentral